Molecule: long non-coding RNA, 967 nt
Organism: Hydra vulgaris (swiftwater hydra)
Lineage: Eukaryota; Metazoa; Cnidaria; Hydrozoa; Anthoathecata; Hydridae
Source: RefSeq, a predicted model, not a curated record
ACAUAUGAAUAACUUUUGUAUAGAAGUCGUCAUACGAUGGAAGGCUUCGAAAAAUUGAUUUCCGUUAGUACGAAACAUAUAAAUAAAAUGAAAAAUAAAAUGAUUUCCGAAAUCCAUGUGAUAAUUUACUUUAUUCAAUUCAACUUUUAAAGAACUUUCAAUUAAAUCAAGAAUAUUUUAAAGACAAUGAUGAGGAUUCUUAAAGGUAUUGGCAGGCUGUACCUGACGACUUACCUUCCUGCAAUGAAAUUAAAAGAACAAAAACUUUCAAUAUUCAUUAGUCUAUUAAAAUUUUAUUGUCAUUUUUACAUGGUUUCUACUAACUAUAAUUGUAACAUGCGCAAGCUGGCAAUCAGGAUAUUUUUGAGCAAAAAUUAACAACGAAAACUACUAAAUAUUCAUAAUACACUAAAACUACCCGUUGUUUAACGGAAAAAACCCAUUGUAUUUUAACGGAAAAAUCCGUUUGUAAACGGAAACAUCCGUUUACAUGCGAUGAGUUUUUCCGUAAAAUAACGGGUAGUUUGGUCAUUGGCAGCUGCCGGAACUUUUCCGUAAAAAACGCGUUUUUUUUAACAGUGCAGUUAAAAAUUAUGUAAAUCACAUUUUUAAAAAUCAGAUGUAAAUGUUUUACUAUAUUAAGGUCAAAAGUUUGUUAUUGACUUUAUUUGAAAGAAUGUAGUAAAAUUUUUCUAUAGGGUAGAUUCGGGUAAUUUGAGCACCGAGUCAAUAUAAAUAUACCAAAAGAUAAGUUGCGAGCAGUGAUGUUCAAGCUGCAUUGUAUUUUUUGAACUGACUUUAUGAGGUUAUAAAAGAAAGCUGUGUAAAUAGCGUAAAUUUAUACGCAAUAAUUAACGUCUUUCAUCUAUUUAAAACACUACUCAAUUUUUUGUGAUUUUAAAUUAUUAUUAUAAAAAUAUGGUUUAAAAUUUUGAUGUUAUAAUUAUUUUAAUUAUUAUAAUUACAA